CUCGUUCUGUUGGUAGAGAGGAAUUCAGCUUCUUCUGGAGCGCGAAAGUCAUUCACGUUUCUCUUGUGCAUAAUAGAGCUCGUAAACUGUAGGAAUUCUGAUGUGCUUCAGUGCACAGAACAGUAACAGAUGAGCUGCUUUUGGGGAGAGCUUGAGUACUCAGUCGGUCAGUAGUACAGUAGCAGGCUCACAUGUACGGAUUGUUCUUGUGAGGAGCAUCAUCAUGGGCUCUAGUGCCACAGAAAUUGAAGAAUUGGAAAACACCACUUUUAAGUAUCUUACAGGAGAACAGACUGAAAAAAUGUGGCAGCGCCUGAAAGGAAUAGCAACCAAGAGAAGUGAGUUCAGAAUCUCCAUAAACUUAAGGUAAGAAUUAGUUAAUCAUACACUUGAUGUUUAUCACUGGAAAAGAAAAGUAUUUAUGAAACAGAGCAAAAGAAAAGAGUGAAGAUAAAAAUAUAAAAUGAUUGUAAGAAACAGAGAGAAAGAAUCAAAGUGAAUCAUAUUAGAUGGACCCAACCCUACAAGUAAUUAAAGCACUAGUAAUUAAUUCUGUGGACUCUGGUGAAAAGCAGUCCCAGGUUCAAAUCUUUGCUUUGUCAGUCCCAGCUGUACAAUAUUAGCUAUCUCUAAAAUUAGAUACUAAUAUUGUCCCAUAUUGUCAUCUGGGGAAUUCAGUGUAAUAGGUUCUGUAGAAUCCUCGGUGGUGCCUGGUACGUAUGUGCUCUGUAAUAGCAACGGCUCUUUUAUUGGAUAUAGGGGCUAGGUAAUCUCACAGGUAACUCUGAGCUUUACAAGUCUAUGAAUGGAGCCUAUCUAGCCUUUUCAGUGAAGGUGAAACAUCUUAUGAAGUGAUUUAGAAAAAAAGUAGAGUUUUUUUUUUUUUUUUUGAGACGGAGUCUUGCUCUGUCGCCCAGGCUGGAGUGCUGUGGCGCAGUCUCGGCUCACUGCAAGCUCUGGUUCCUGGGUUCACACCAUUCUCCUGCCUCAGCCUCCCAAGAAACUGGGACUACAGGCGCCCGCCACCACGCCCAGCUAAUAUUUUGUAUUUUUUAGUAGAGACGGGGUUUCACCAUGUUAGCCAGGAUGGGCUCGAUCUCCUGACCUCGUGAUCUGCCCGCCUCGGCCUCCCAAAGUGCUAGGAUUACAGGCGUGAGCCACUGUGCCCGGUCUAAAGGUAGAGAAUU
This 1187-nucleotide long non-coding RNA is filed under the name Rhinopithecus bieti (black snub-nosed monkey). Its description in RNAcentral is "lncRNA (ENSRBIG00000046609.1)". Lineage: Eukaryota; Metazoa; Chordata; Mammalia; Primates; Cercopithecidae. The record is from RNAcentral.